UUCGUGGUCGAGUGGUGAAGACACUUGGCAUUCACCCUGGAGUCCCGGGUCCAAGCCCCGGUUGAAAAG
This is a non-coding RNA of Rhamnusium bicolor, 69 nucleotides long. Lineage: Eukaryota; Metazoa; Arthropoda; Insecta; Coleoptera; Cerambycidae. The record is from the annotation of a GenBank genome assembly.